RNAcentral lists this ribosomal RNA (497 nucleotides) under uncultured bacterium. Its description in RNAcentral is "partial 16S ribosomal RNA". It matches the Rfam family "Bacterial small subunit ribosomal RNA", at positions 28 to 507 of the family's 1533-position model. The record is from RNAcentral.
GAUGAACGCUGGCGGCGUGCCUAAUACAUGCAAGUCGAGCGAACGGACGCGAAGCUUGCUUUUCUGAUGUUAGCGGCGGACGGGUGAGUAACACGUGGAUAACCUACCUAUCAGACUGGGAUAACUUCGGGAAACCGGCGCUAAUACCGGAUAAUAUUUUGAACCGCAUGGUUCAUACGUGAAAGACGGUCUUGCUUUCACUCAUAGAUGGAUCCGCGCUGCAUUAGCUAGUUGGUAAGUUAACGGCUUACCAAGGCAACGAUGCAUAGCCGACCUGAGAGGGUGAUCGGCCACACUAGAACUGAGACACGGUCCAGACUCCUACGAGAGGCAGCAGUGGGGAAUCAUCCGCAAUGGGCGAAAACCUAACGGAGCAACGCCGCGUGAGUGAGGAAGGUCUUCGGAUCGUAAAACUCUGUUAUGAGGGAAGAACAGAUGUGUAAGUAACGGUGCACAUCUUGACGGUACCUAAUCAGAAAGCCACGGCUAACUACGUG